UACGUAGGGGCCGAGCGUUGUCCGGAUUUAUUGGGCGUAAAGCGCGCGCAGGCGGCUUGACGCGCCCGACGUGAAAGCCCCCGGCUUAACCGGGGAGGGGCGUCGGGUACGGUCAGGCUUGAGGGCGGGAGAGGGUGGUGGAAUUCCCGGUGUAGUGGUGAAAUACGUAGAGAUUGGGAAGAACACCAGUGGCGAAGGCGGCUAUCUGGACGGUUACUGACACUAAGACUCGAAAGCGUGGGGAGCAAACAGG
This 253-nucleotide ribosomal RNA is filed under the name uncultured bacterium. Its description in RNAcentral is "partial 16S ribosomal RNA". It matches the Rfam family "Bacterial small subunit ribosomal RNA", at positions 524 to 776 of the family's 1533-position model. The record is from RNAcentral.